Molecule: unclassified non-coding RNA, 148 nt
Organism: Pongo abelii (Sumatran orangutan)
Lineage: Eukaryota; Metazoa; Chordata; Mammalia; Primates; Hominidae
Rfam family: Metazoan signal recognition particle RNA
About the family: The signal recognition particle (SRP) is a universally conserved ribonucleoprotein. It is involved in the co-translational targeting of proteins to membranes.
Source: Ensembl
GCUGGGCAUGGUGGCCCAUGCCUGUAAUCCCAGCUACUCAGGAGGCUGAGGCAGGAGAAUAGCUUGAACCCAGGAGGCAGUGGUUGCAGUGAGCCAAGAUCUUGACAUUGCAUUCCACCCUGGGCGACAGAGCAAGACUCUGUCUCCA